RNAcentral lists this ribosomal RNA (464 nucleotides) under uncultured bacterium. RNAcentral's name for it is "partial 16S ribosomal RNA". It matches the Rfam family "Bacterial small subunit ribosomal RNA", at positions 338 to 795 of the family's 1533-position model. The record is from RNAcentral.
CCUACGGGAGGCAGCAGUAGGGAAUUUUCGUCAAUGGGCGCACGCCUGAACGAGCAAUGCCGCGUGAACGAGGACGGUCUUCGGAUCGUAAAGUUCUGUUGAAGGGGAAAAAGAGCGGAGAGAGGAAAUGGUCUCCGAUUGAUAUUAACCUUCGAGGACGUCCCGGCUACCUACGUGCCAGCAGCCGCGGUAAUACGUAGGUGGCGAGAGUUAUCCGGAAUGAUUGGGCGUAAAGGGUGCGUAGGCGGCCUGCUAAGCCUGGAGUGAAAGGUACCGGCUCAACCGGGACAGGCUCUGGAAACUGGCGGGCUAGAGAGCAGGAGAGGGCGGUGGAACGCCAGGUGUAGCGGUAAAAUGCGUAGAUAUAAGGAAGAACACCAGUGGCGAAGGCGGCCGCCGGGCCUGUUACUGACGCUGAGGCACGAAAGCGUGGGGAGCAAAUAGGAUUAGAUACCCCAGUAGUC